GAGAUGGGAGGAUUGUUUGAGUCCAGGUGGAUCAAGGCUGCAGUGAGCUGUGAUCAUAUCACUGGACUCCAGCCUGAGUGACAGAGCAAGACCCCGUCUC
This is a microRNA precursor of Rhinopithecus bieti (black snub-nosed monkey), 100 nucleotides long. NCBI's taxonomy places the organism in Eukaryota, Metazoa, Chordata, Mammalia, Primates, Cercopithecidae. The record is from Ensembl.